Molecule: ribosomal RNA, 301 nt
Filed under: uncultured bacterium
Lineage: Bacteria
Description: partial 16S ribosomal RNA
Rfam family: Bacterial small subunit ribosomal RNA
Source: RNAcentral
CAGCCGCCGCGGUAACACGAAGGGUGCAAGCGUUACUCGGAAUUACUGGGCGUAAAGCGUGCGUAGGUGGUGGUUUAAGUCCGUUGUGAAAGCCCUGGGCUCAACCUGGGAAUUGCAGUGGAUACUGGGUCACUAGAGUGUGGUAGAGGAUAGUGGAAUUUCCGGUGUAGCAGUGAAAUGCGUAGAGAUCGGAAGGAACAUCUGUGGCGAAGGCGACUAUCUGGGCCAACACUGACACUGAGGCACGAAAGCGUGGGGAGCAAACAGGAUUAGAUACCUCCGUAGUCCCUGUCUCUUAUAC